RNAcentral lists this ribosomal RNA (2933 nucleotides) under Escherichia coli. RNAcentral describes it as "bacterial LSU rRNA". It matches the Rfam family "Bacterial large subunit ribosomal RNA". The record is from RNAcentral. Lineage: Bacteria; Pseudomonadati; Pseudomonadota; Gammaproteobacteria; Enterobacterales; Enterobacteriaceae.
GGGUUGUGAGGUUAAGCGACUAAGCGUACACGGUGGAUGCCCUGGCAGUCAGAGGCGAUGAAGGACGUGCUAAUCUGCGAUAAGCGUCGGUAAGGUGAUAUGAACCGUUAUAACCGGCGAUUUCCGAAUGGGGAAACCCAGUGUGUUUCGACACACUAUCAUUAACUGAAUCCAUAGGUUAAUGAGGCGAACCGGGGGAACUGAAACAUCUAAGUACCCCGAGGAAAAGAAAUCAACCGAGAUUCCCCCAGUAGCGGCGAGCGAACGGGGAGCAGCCCAGAGCCUGAAUCAGUGUGUGUGUUAGUGGAAGCGUCUGGAAAGGCGCGCGAUACAGGGUGACAGCCCCGUACACAAAAAUGCACAUGCUGUGAGCUCGAUGAGUAGGGCGGGACACGUGGUAUCCUGUCUGAAUAUGGGGGGACCAUCCUCCAAGGCUAAAUACUCCUGACUGACCGAUAGUGAACCAGUACCGUGAGGGAAAGGCGAAAAGAACCCCGGCGAGGGGAGUGAAAAAGAACCUGAAACCGUGUACGUACAAGCAGUGGGAGCACAGAGCAAUCUGUGUGACUGCGUACCUUUUGUAUAAUGGGUCAGCGACUUAUAUUCUGUAGCAAGGUUAACCGAAUAGGGGAGCCGAAGGGAAACCGAGUCUUAACUGGGCGUUAAGUUGCAGGGUAUAGACCCGAAACCCGGUGAUCUAGCCAUGGGCAGGUUGAAGGUUGGGUAACACUAACUGGAGGACCGAACCGACUAAUGUUGAAAAAUUAGCGGAUGACUUGUGGCUGGGGGUGAAAGGCCAAUCAAACCGGGAGAUAGCUGGUUCUCCCCGAAAGCUAUUUAGGUAGCGCCUCGUGAAUUCAUCUCCGGGGGUAGAGCACUGUUUCGGCAAGGGGGUCAUCCCGACUUACCAACCCGAUGCAAACUGCGAAUACCGGAGAAUGUUAUCACGGGAGACACACGGCGGGUGCUAACGUCCGUCGUGAAGAGGGAAACAACCCAGACCGCCAGCUAAGGUCCCAAAGUCAUGGUUAAGUGGGAAACGAUGUGGGAAGGCCCAGACAGCCAGGAUGUUGGCUUAGAAGCAGCCAUCAUUUAAAGAAAGCGUAAUAGCUCACUGGUCGAGUCGGCCUGCGCGGAAGAUGUAACGGGGCUAAACCAUGCACCGAAGCUGCGGCAGCGACGCUUAUGCGUUGUUGGGUAGGGGAGCGUUCUGUAAGCCUGUGAAGGUGUACUGUGAGGUAUGCUGGAGGUAUCAGAAGUGCGAAUGCUGACAUAAGUAACGAUAAAGCGGGUGAAAAGCCCGCUCGCCGGAAGACCAAGGGUUCCUGUCCAACGUUAAUCGGGGCAGGGUGAGUCGACCCCUAAGGCGAGGCCGAAAGGCGUAGUCGAUGGGAAACAGGUUAAUAUUCCUGUACUUGGUGUUACUGCGAAGGGGGGACGGAGAAGGCUAUGUUGGCCGGGCGACGGUUGUCCCGGUUUAAGCGUGUAGGCUGGUUUUCCAGGCAAAUCCGGAAAAUCAAGGCUGAGGCGUGAUGACGAGGCACUACGGUGCUGAAGCAACAAAUGCCCUGCUUCCAGGAAAAGCCUCUAAGCAUCAGGUAACAUCAAAUCGUACCCCAAACCGACACAGGUGGUCAGGUAGAGAAUACCAAGGCGCUUGAGAGAACUCGGGUGAAGGAACUAGGCAAAAUGGUGCCGUAACUUCGGGAGAAGGCACGCUGAUAUGUAGGUGAAGUCCCUCGCGGAUGGAGCUGAAAUCAGUCGAAGAUACCAGCUGGCUGCAACUGUUUAUUAAAAACACAGCACUGUGCAAACACGAAAGUGGACGUAUACGGUGUGACGCCUGCCCGGUGCCGGAAGGUUAAUUGAUGGGGUCAGCGCAAGCGAAGCUCUUGAUCGAAGCCCCGGUAAACGGCGGCCGUAACUAUAACGGUCCUAAGGUAGCGAAAUUCCUUGUCGGGUAAGUUCCGACCUGCACGAAUGGCGUAAUGAUGGCCAGGCUGUCUCCACCCGAGACUCAGUGAAAUUGAACUCGCUGUGAAGAUGCAGUGUACCCGCGGCAAGACGGAAAGACCCCGUGAACCUUUACUAUAGCUUGACACUGAACAUUGAGCCUUGAUGUGUAGGAUAGGUGGGAGGCUUGGAAGUGUGGACGCCAGUCUGCAUGGAGCCGACCUUGAAAUACCACCCUUUAAUGUUUGAUGUUCUAACGUUGACCCGUAAUCCGGGUUGCGGACAGUGUCUGGUGGGUAGUUUGACUGGGGCGGUCUCCUCCUAAAGAGUAACGGAGGAGCACGAAGGUUGGCUAAUCCUGGUCGGACAUCAGGAGGUUAGUGCAAUGGCAUAAGCCAGCUUGACUGCGAGCGUGACGGCGCGAGCAGGUGCGAAAGCAGGUCAUAGUGAUCCGGUGGUUCUGAAUGGAAGGGCCAUCGCUCAACGGAUAAAAGGUACUCCGGGGAUAACAGGCUGAUACCGCCCAAGAGUUCAUAUCGACGGCGGUGUUUGGCACCUCGAUGUCGGCUCAUCACAUCCUGGGGCUGAAGUAGGUCCCAAGGGUAUGGCUGUUCGCCAUUUAAAGUGGUACGCGAGCUGGGUUUAGAACGUCGUGAGACAGUUCGGUCCCUAUCUGCCGUGGGCGCUGGAGAACUGAGGGGGGCUGCUCCUAGUACGAGAGGACCGGAGUGGACGCAUCACUGGUGUUCGGGUUGUCAUGCCAAUGGCACUGCCCGGUAGCUAAAUGCGGAAGAGAUAAGUGCUGAAAGCAUCUAAGCACGAAACUUGCCCCGAGAUGAGUUCUCCCUGACUCCUUGAGAGUCCUGAAGGAACGUUGAAGACGACGACGUUGAUAGGCCGGGUGUGUAAGCGCAGCGAUGCGUUGAGCUAACCGGUACUAAUGAACCGUGAGGCUUAACCUUACAACGCCGAAGGUGUUU